This 563-nucleotide long non-coding RNA is filed under the name Nicotiana benthamiana. Its description in RNAcentral is "long non-coding RNA (NBEN_LNC031978)". Lineage: Eukaryota; Viridiplantae; Streptophyta; Magnoliopsida; Solanales; Solanaceae. The record is from RNAcentral.
GUUAAUUCUGCGCAGAAUUGUCAGAUUAUGAUUCCUAUACCAAUGCAUUGAAACCAGAUGCUCAAGAAAGCCCAGUAAAGCAAUCUGUAUAGGAAUUGAGGCUGUUACCCAAACCGUCCAGUCCAGCAAGACAUGCUCAACCAUAUCAGCAUUUGAAAGAACAAUGCAAUUAGAUGUUUCAGUCAGCAUUUCAGUAUUUUCAAGCUCAGAACGUCCAGUCCAGCAAGACAUGCUCAGCCAUAUCAGCAUUUGAAAGAACAAUGCAAUUAGAUGUUUCAGUCAGCAUUUCAGUAUUUUCAAGCUCAGAAAUAUGACUCAAAGAAUCUUUAGGUGCAGAAAAAUCAUCCAUGUCUCCAUGAGAUCCAACAGAAGAAAAUUCUUCCUGGAAUUUGGACAAAGUAAGGUCUUCAAUGCUUCCCUCAUUUAUGGCCAUGGCAGGUGGCAGUGUCUUCUGGGAACUAUGGUACUUCUUUGGUUCAGAGAAAGAUGCCUCACAUGCAGCAAUCUGGAAGAAGAUUUCAAGUGAUUGCAUGUCAAAUAAUGGCAUUCGCCGGUGCAAAAAG